CAGACUUCUGUGCCAAGCCUCUUCUAUACUUAUUUGACACACUUCUGCUUGGUUAUACUAGAGCAUUCAUGGUUUCAAUCACCAUAUAUAUAUAUACACAUAUAUACUGAUGAAUCCCAAAGUUCAUAUCGUCAGCCCAGGUUUAUUUCCUAUGCUUUGGUUAUAGGCAAACACACACACACACACACACACACACACACCACAAACACACAAACACACAUCCUACAGGCGCUUACCUCAAUAUCAGCAUGUUCAAAACUGACACUUCAUCUUUUUGCACCCCAAUCAUGUUUUUUUAGCAUUCCCUGUCCUAGCAAAUGACACCACUAGUCAUCGAGUUUCCCAGUCCGGAGGUGUGAUAUCAUCUCUGAGUCUUUCCCCUUUUUCUCCCCAUGCAACCUAUCAACCAACAGUUGAAAAUAUUUCAUCUCCUCAUACCUUUCUACUCAUCCCUCUUCUCUCUGUCCGCACUGGCAUUAUCCUCUUCCAGACUACCAUCAUCUCUUAUCUGAUCUCCUUGAUUCUCCAGUCAUUCCCCCUGAAAUUAAUUCUCCAUACUUCAGCCAAACUGAUUUUUUAAAUGCAGAUGUGAUCAUGUUAAUCAGACAUUUAAAACCCAUCUUUGUACUUGAAUUACAUUUAGGAUAAAUGCAAGAACGCAUGAUAUGACCUGUAUAAUGAUUCACAUUCUCAACCUGCUUUCAACCCUAAUUUCAUUAUUAGACCCUCCCUUUCCACAGUUUUUAAAGUCCAAGGCAUACUUCACUUCUCUGUGUUCCUCAAAAUGCCCAUCUGAAAUAUUCCUCCUUCUCCUGGCUAGUUCCUUCAGAUCACAAUGUAUUAUUCAUUACGUCAGGAAAGCUUUCACUGAUGUCCCAAGUCCUAUUUAGAUCUUAAUUAUUUUAUUUUUGACAGACACUUAACCAGCACUUACAAACCACUUGGUAAAUAUUAAUUCACUAGAUGCCUAUGAUAAUAAUCAUGGGAGGCAAAUAUUAUUAUUACCCCAUUUUACAGGUGAGGAAACAAAGAUAUCUAUAACUUGCCCAAGCUUAUAGUGAGUCACAUAACCAGGAUUCUAAUAUUGAUAAUUUGGUUCCAGAUCCCAUAUUCCUAAGCACUAAAGUAUGCAGCCCAUAGGUACAAGAAGCCCUUUCUAGAUAUUUCUAUAUUACUUUUUACAAAUGCAUACAUUAUGACAUACUUCAUUUACUUGUCUGCCAAUUUUUCUAGCUUGUGAGCUCCAUAAGAGCAAGGAUUAUCUCUAGCUUAUUUGUGCCAUGUCCUUCUUUGUAUUUUCAAAAUAUGAAAGUGAAAAAAGUAAUGACAUUACUAACUAUGAUUGACAACAAGUAUUUACAAGAGUGAAGGAGAGAAUAUAUUUGUAAUUACUCAAGAAAUGACUUAAAUAAAAAAUUAUUUCUUCAGUUCAGAAUAUUUUAACAGAUCCUUUAGUGUCGAGCAUUCAAAACAGUGAUAAUGCAGUGUAUAGACAUUUUCUGGAUUCAAAUUCAAACAAACCAUCAGCAAAGGACGUUUUGGAGAGAACUGGGGAAAACCAAAUGCAGGAUAAAUUACAUCGAGGAAUUAUUGCUCAAGUUGUUGAUUGUGAACGUUAUGUUGCAAUUAUCUUUUAGAAUGCCUUAUCUAUUAGAAAUACUUAGUAAAGUAUUUAAAGGUAAAAAAAAAAUGUUGUCUGGGAUUUGUUUUGAAUGUUCCGGAUGUAUUUAUGAUUUACUUUUUCAAAGAGGAAAACUUUUUAAUGAAAAAAAAA
This 1774-nucleotide long non-coding RNA is filed under the name Macaca fascicularis (crab-eating macaque). Its description in RNAcentral is "lncRNA (ENSMFAG00000064902.1)". The record is from RNAcentral. Lineage: Eukaryota; Metazoa; Chordata; Mammalia; Primates; Cercopithecidae.